RNAcentral lists this ribosomal RNA (253 nucleotides) under uncultured bacterium. RNAcentral describes it as "partial 16S ribosomal RNA". It matches the Rfam family "Bacterial small subunit ribosomal RNA", at positions 524 to 776 of the family's 1533-position model. The record is from RNAcentral.
UACGUAGGGGGCAAGCGUUGUCCGGAUUUACUGGGCGUAAAGGGCGUGUAGGCGGUCUGUUAAGUGCAGGGUGAAAGCUCCCGGCUCAACUGGGAGAGGUCCUUGCAUACUGGCGGACUUGAGGGGGGUAGAGGAAAGUGGAAUUCCCGGUGUAGUGGUGAUAUGCGUAGAUAUCGGGAGGAACACCUGUGGCGAAGGCGGCUUUCUGGGCCCUACCUGACGCUGAGACGCGAAAGCGUGGGGAGCGAACCGG